Molecule: ribosomal RNA, 452 nt
Filed under: Escherichia coli
Lineage: Bacteria; Pseudomonadati; Pseudomonadota; Gammaproteobacteria; Enterobacterales; Enterobacteriaceae
Description: bacterial SSU rRNA
Rfam family: Bacterial small subunit ribosomal RNA
Source: RNAcentral
AAAUUGAAGAGUUUGAUCAUGGCUCAGAUUGAACGCUGGCGGCAGGCCUAACACAUGCAAGUCGAACGGUAACAGGAAGCAGCUUGCUGCUUUGCUGACAAGUGGCGGACGGGUGAGUAAUGUCUGGGAAACUGCCUGAUGGAGGGGGAUAACUACUGGAAACGGUAGCUAAUACCGCAUAACGUCGCAAGACCAAAGAGGGGGACCUUCGGGCCUCUUGCCAUUGGAUGUGCCCAGAUGGGAUUAGCUAGUAGGUGGGGUAACGGCUCACCUAGGCGACGAUCCCUAGCUGGUCUGAGAGGAUGACCAGCCACACUGGAACUGAGACACGGUCCAGACUCCUACGGGAGGCAGCAGUGGGGAAUAUUGCACAAUGGGCGCAAGCCUGAUGCAGCCAUGCCGCGUGUAUGAAGAAGGCCUUCGGGUUGUAAAGUACUUUCAGCGGGGAGGAA